UGUUCUACGAUGUAGGGAAUAGGUUAUUAGGUUUUUUCCCUAAUUCAGAUUCAGGUGAAGACAUCAAUUGUAAUUGCUGGCCCUAUUCCCAGUUGAAGGUUCUGGAAGCUUCAACCUCCCCUGCCGGCUAGACUGGAAACCUACGUCGUUCUCAAAAAACCAGCUGGGAAAUUUGCUUUACAGGCUGGUUCAUAAUUUCUUGGGUAGCUUAUAGCCUUGACUGGCACCUAUAAUCCGCUGAGAGCCUUAGCUUCCCCUCUUCCAGAACCUUCUCUGACGAAUAGGUAGCUCUAUUCCUACACAUGAAGCUUAGGGAGCCAAUGAUGUCAAACUUCUAUAAAUUCUUCAUCUUCCUUCCUGUUCUCCCCACGCUUGUUAUCCUCAUUAACGGAAAUCAUGAGACGACGGUGGGGAGAGAGACACGGUGGGUUCUGCUUCGUCAUGGCCUGGGGCGUUUCAGCGGCGCAAACAAGGCGAAGCAAACGGCGGCCAUCGCGAUUUAAGAGAGCGGCACAACAGGACUGGUGAUGUUGACUUCGGGGAAACGACGGCGGCGGCACCAAAGCCAGCGGGAGCAGCGUUCGACUUCGACCCUCUUCCUCCUCAACGAUUCCGGUGACAUCCCCCUCCUCAGCCAUUGAGCAAUCAGCGAGAGUCAACCUCUCUUGUCUUCUCCAGCCCUCGAAGGAAGAGAUUCAGACAAAAUGGGCAACAUAGUAAAUCUAGAUGAGAGUGUUUUCGAUGUGGAUGGAUGAUAACACCUCUAUUGAUAAGCUCUCUAGAUAUUUGAAUCUCAAGGUUGAUGUAGGGAGCAGGGACCAAGUUUUCCCCUCAAGUUUAUUGAAAGUUUGUACCGAUGUGUGUGGAUUUAAAUAGACAGAGCACAGAGAUGUAGUCAUGCAUUUGUAGUUUGCAAUUCAAGGUUAUGGAUCAAGCUAUGGCGUGGACCGGACACUGCAAUUUCAUGGCUGAUAAAUGAACAGUUUUGGUUUAUUGGAGAGACCAAUGCCCAUUUAGCUAUUGUCCCCCAAGUCCUGCUGAAAGUCAUUGCAAGCAUUCAGAUCUCCUUGGUGAUGAUGGAGUAAAACUACUUUUCAAAUUGAACUUGCAUAGCUCAGAGUGGAAGAGAUGGAUCAUGGUAUUGCAGAUGAAUCAAGUGUUGCACCCAAGGCACAGAUUCAGAUGAAAUAACUGUAGAUAACUGUAGAGGAUUGGAAGAAUUGCUUAAGAGAGUUCAAGAUUCUAUCAAUUGGGAGAAGAUUCCAAAGAGUAGACAACCUCUACUUCUCUGCUUGGUGAAAGGAAAAGAAAGAUGACAUAACUGAAACUCCUCAACAUGCACAUUAUCAAAUCCCUUCUUUGACCGUAGCCCGGGAAAUACUGUAUGUGUUAGAUGGACUUUGCAUGCGAAAGCUUCUCCAAGUAAACACUCCUCUUGGCAAACAUGGCUGUUAAGAUGAGAGGAACCGUUGCAGGAGACAAAUGCCUAAAUUGUGACCGCUGGCCAUAUGAAAUGUGAAUGCAUAGAUCACACUACUAUCAGUAAACUCAUGCAAGUGGAGAAUUGAUUAUCUUGGAUAGUUAUUUACCAAUUACAGAAUUUCAGUUGAAGAGGUGAAUUCAAUACACUUCAAGCCAAUUUAAGACAGAAUUUGAAAGAUUGUUAUUAUGAAUUUAGAACCUGCCGAAUUUUUGAAAACUAUCUCCCUUGGUUCUUAUUAUCCAUUAAUAUGUUAUGAAAAGUAAGAGCAAAUGACUGCCAUAGAAUUUCAGAAAAACAUGCAAGUGGAUAUUAAAUUGUUUUGAAUA
Lotus japonicus is the source of this 1809-nucleotide long non-coding RNA. RefSeq lists it as uncharacterized. The transcript has 5 exons. Lineage: Eukaryota; Viridiplantae; Streptophyta; Magnoliopsida; Fabales; Fabaceae. The record is from RefSeq and is a predicted model, not a curated record.